Long non-coding RNA from Cucumis sativus (cucumber), 422 nucleotides. RefSeq lists it as uncharacterized. The record is from RefSeq and is a predicted model, not a curated record. Lineage: Eukaryota; Viridiplantae; Streptophyta; Magnoliopsida; Cucurbitales; Cucurbitaceae. The transcript has 2 exons.
AGGGACUUGCACUGAAACACUUGUCCCAACAAUAAAGCCAAAGUGCACUGUACCAAAGUAAAAAGGAUGAAAGCAAGCACAAGAGGGGUCAGUUGCAGUUGAUAAGGUUCCAACUUCCACUAGUGGGACUGGGAAGAUCCUAAAAAAUUGAUGGUGAGUGAGAUUCAACUUGGAGCUGCCUUCAAGAGAGAUAGAAAGAGAAAAGCUUCUUCUCAUCAUAUUGGUGUCAACUAAAAAGAUUUUUCAGUUCUUUUUUCUUUUCUCACCAAACAACUAAAAGCUAAGUUGAAUCGGCAUAAGAUACGGUUUCAGUGCUUUACAUGUGGAACAAUUUUUUGUAAGUUUUUUUGAUACAGUUGUGUUUAAAAAAAGGAUUCUGUAUUGUUCAAAAGUUACUAUACAACUACUCUUGCUGUCCAUGA